UCAUCAGCUGUAUGGUAAACGGCACAAGACCAACGUGUGGCCGAGAUCAGCAGUGACCAGCCUCUACCAUAAGACAGCUUUCCCUGAGAAUGCAGGAAGGAACUCAAAGCCUGGUAGAUGGUGACGUCCAGAUGCCCGAAGGUGACCUGCUCUUUGGAUACAGCAGCACUCUGUAAAGAGGUGCUGAACGAAACCCUGCCUGAAGAGCCUGACCUGGUGUGUCUUAUUGCACCAGGGAACAACCUCUCGAACAACACCAUCCAACAAGCAGGGAAGGAUUUUGCCAGCCUUAUCCCUUCAGCCCAGGGCACAGGGAAUAAGGUAGUGGUAAUUGAUUUUCCAAACCGGCUGACAGUGGAGUUCCCGUAUCAAGACAUGUUGCGACAAGAGUACCAUUGAGUUGCAGCCAGCAUGAAUGUAAGGUACCUCUCCACUGUAGAUCACUUCCCUGCAAGGAGCUCUGACCUGUGGUGCCGUGACGGGGUGCAUCUAAGUGAUGACCAUGGAAUGCUCAUCUUUGCCCAACUGAUCUGGUGUGUAGCUUACUUUCAGCUGAACGUUCCACAGGGGAUCAAGACCACCCUGCUGCACCCAGACGUGCAUUCCACAGAGUGACCCCACGGCUGGUGGUGAGAGGGACACCAGCUGCACCACCACAGAGACGAGAUCCUUACUCAUGGGCUGAGGUGGCAAGAGGACACAGUAAGAAGAUGUCGAAUAGUAAUUGCAGACGGUUCCACUCUGUAAGUAUAACAUACAUUUUUUUUAAUUCUUUGCACUAAGAUAUUGUAUUAACAAAGAUUUAUGUCAGUUGAAAUGUCGUUAAUUAUAAUUAAUCAUUUUUACAUACCACAUGCUAAAAUAAAUUAAUUGAUUGGAUUACUAUAUAUAUUUUAUAAUAAAAACAUUAAUGUUAACUUGUGUUUUUGUGAUACAAAAGUUAAACUGCACACAUUCGUUUCAUCGAAAAAAAUCCAAUAAACAAUAACAGGAAAUAUAUUUUCUCAUCCUUUAAUUCUACAGCUUUUACAUUUGUUGUGCUAUUUGUUUUUCUUGUUAUGUUUUUCAUGGUAAAUGCCAUCAAUAAAAAUGCUUAUCAGUAAUAUAUUUUUAUUGUCUUUUUUAAUUAAUUAAAAGUGUGUCUG
Molecule: long non-coding RNA, 1145 nt
Organism: Acipenser ruthenus (sterlet)
Lineage: Eukaryota; Metazoa; Chordata; Actinopteri; Acipenseriformes; Acipenseridae
Exons: 4
Source: RefSeq, a predicted model, not a curated record